This 200-nucleotide ribosomal RNA is filed under the name uncultured bacterium. Its description in RNAcentral is "partial 16S ribosomal RNA". It matches the Rfam family "Bacterial small subunit ribosomal RNA", at positions 30 to 256 of the family's 1533-position model. The record is from RNAcentral.
AUUGAACGCUGGCGGCAGGCCUAACACAUGCAAGUCGAACGGUCUCUUCGGAGGCAGUGGCAGACGGGUGAGUAACGCGUGGGAAUCUACCUAGUUCUACGGAACAACAGAGGGAAACUUCUGCUAAUACCGUAUACGCCCUACGGGGGAAAGAUUUAUCGGAAUUAGAUGAGCCCGCGUAAGAUUAGCUAGUUGGUGGG